GAUGAACGCUGGCGGCAGGCUUAACACAUGCAAGUCGAGCGGAUGAAGGGAGCUUGCUCCUGGAUUCAGCGGCGGACGGGUGAGUAAUGCCCAGGAAUCUGCCUGCUAGUGGGGGAUAACGUCCGGAAACGGGCGCUAAUACCGCAUACGUCCUGAGGGAGAAAGUGGGGGAGCUUCGGACCUCACGCUAUCAGAUGAGCCUAGGUCGGAUUGGCUAGUUGGUGGGGUAAAGGCCUACCAAGCCGACGAUCCGUAACUGGUCUGAGUGGAUGAUCAGUCACACUGGAACUUAGACACGGUCCAGGCUCCUACGGGAGGCCGCAGUCGGGAAUAUUGGACAGUGGGGGAGAACCUUGUCCAGCCGGGCCAAGUCUGUGACGAAGGUCUUCGGAUUGUGAUGCCCUUUUAGUUGUGAGAAAGGGCAGUAAGUUGAUACCUUGCUGUUUUGACGUUACCAACAGAAUAAGCACCGGCUAACUACGUG
Molecule: ribosomal RNA, 484 nt
Filed under: uncultured bacterium
Lineage: Bacteria
Description: partial 16S ribosomal RNA
Rfam family: Bacterial small subunit ribosomal RNA
Source: RNAcentral